Molecule: RNase P RNA, 388 nt
Filed under: Evansella sp. LMS18
Lineage: Bacteria; Bacillati; Bacillota; Bacilli; Caryophanales; Bacillaceae
Description: RNase P RNA component class B
Rfam family: Bacterial RNase P class B
About the family: Ribonuclease P (RNase P) is a ubiquitous endoribonuclease, found in archaea, bacteria and eukarya as well as chloroplasts and mitochondria. Its best characterised activity is the generation of mature 5'-ends of tRNAs by cleaving the 5'-leader elements of precursor-tRNAs.
Source: RNAcentral
AUGUUUGAGUAAUCGCUGCAUCAUUAUGAUGCAGAGGAAAGUCCAUGCUCGCACAGUCUGAGAUGGCUGUAGUGUUCGUGCCUGGCGAAGUCAUAAGCCAGGGUAGUCCGGUUUUUUACUGGGCUAACGGCAGGGAAAGCACCUAAGUCCUUAUGGAUAUGGGGCGAAUACCUUGAAAGUGCCACAGUGACGAAGUCUGGUUAGAAAUGGCCAGAGUGGAACGAGGUAAACCCCACGAGCGAGAAACCCAAAAUUUGGUAGGGGCAUCCCCAGGAAGGAAAUGAACGGAAUGGGGAACAGACAGAUGUCUGUAGACAGAUGAUUGCUGCCCGAGUCCGAGGUUUGACAGCCGCUUGCAGGACGACGGUACAGAACAUGGCUUACAAAA